GCAUCGAUAGCUCAGUGGCAGAGCGGUGGGGCGUUUACCCAUGCGGCCCGGGUUCGAUUCCCGGUCGAUGUA
Molecule: non-coding RNA, 72 nt
Organism: Phthorimaea operculella (potato tuberworm)
Lineage: Eukaryota; Metazoa; Arthropoda; Insecta; Lepidoptera; Gelechiidae
Source: the annotation of a GenBank genome assembly